GUCAGCCUUGUUCUUGCAAGAGCAGAUGGAGGCUGUGCCUCGCUGAGCUCUCAUUGCUGCUCACGUGGAACCCACUCAGACUCUCGCUCGGAAGCCGGGCCCACCUCCCGCCUCAUUGCUCUCGGCCGGGGUCUGCCCUGUGAAUGAGAGCUGGGGCCUUCAAUCUGCUUUUCUGCCAAAACUGUCCCCGAUAUUCCUUCGUCCUUUUCUCUACUGGAUGACUCACCAUAUUUGCAGUUGUCUGUCAGACCUCAGUAUUUGCGAUGCUUCUUCAGUUUUCUCUAGUUACCCGCCUGAACUCUAUUUAUAACACAUGACACCAGCAAGGCACUCAACUCACUGCCGCAUUCUCUGAUGCUGUGUUGAUUGUCCUUAAAUCUUGCCAACAUGGACUUGGUUGACCCCUGGGCCUGGCUGCUCAAGUGCGGGUGGGGGGCUUUGGGGGUUUAUGUGACAAGAACCAGGCCAACCUCAAGACAAACCUUUUGGAGGAAGCUUUGCUUCAGGCCACGGCGUUUGGAGUUUUAAUACUGAUUCCACAGUUUGUUGGUCCUAUUAUGAGAAUCAGACCCAUUUCCUUUCUGGAUAUUUUACAUUGCAACCUGACCACUGGAGAACAAAGCAAACCUGACUAGAAUAAACAUGGGCCUCUUUUUCCUUAAUUAUUUUGGAAAAUUGCUUUUUUAUUUUCCAAUUAGAGAAUGACAUUUGAUUCCCUGUUAACUGUUUUUAUCUGAUGUUUUGGCAGUCCCACAGUGGGAUAGGGCUGCGGCCCGCAAGGAGGCUAGGUCUGUCAUGUCCCCGCCGUAUCCACUUUCUCCAAAGCAUUUCAGAACUACGCUUCCUAACCACAGUGCUCUUCUCUACGUGGGCACUCGUCUCACAGCAUAAUUCUUACUAAACUCAGUAUGGGAGGAACAGAACAGCAUCUCAAAAGCCUUCCAUGCUUUCUCUUUGCUGAGCCAAUCCUACGUUAGAUUCCUACUUACGGUCCGUCUGUGUCAGCUCCCCAUUCAUCCUUCCAUUCAUAUCUUCCUGUCCACAUGAGUCUGUCCUCCAGCUUCUGGUGCCUUAUUUUUUCUACUAUAGUGAGGUGUUUCCAGAGGGAGGGCAGGGUUGCACUUGACUUUUGGCUUUUUUCUUUUUUAGACAUGGCGCCAGCACUGUGUUUUAUAGAGUAGGGCUUUAAGUUGCCUUUUAAAAAAUUGUUUGGAAUAAAAGUAAACAAGCAUAGAAAACGGUCAUGUAGCCUGUGCUGUGUAGUUUUGUACCUGUCCUUUCCUGUAAUUUUGUGCCGGAUUUUCCUACAACAAAAAAACCUCCUCACCCAGCGAUGUAGAAGCAGCAGAGUCGCCUCCAGAGAAACCAGAGGCACCUGGUGAACCAGGACAAUGACAGCUGAGGGGGAAGGUGGGAGUGAAAUUCCGAAAUAUCCUGGCAAGAAUCAUGAUAAUAGGGAUGCCCAAGACACUUAAGGAAGAAAUAUUAGUGGAAAAAACAAGGCCAAAAAUGUUACAUUUAGGCAUGUUUGAUGCCAAUCAUGUGUGUUAAAUAAUAAAGCUCAUUUCUUUGU
Long non-coding RNA from Artibeus jamaicensis (Jamaican fruit-eating bat), 1573 nucleotides. RefSeq lists it as uncharacterized. NCBI's taxonomy places the organism in Eukaryota, Metazoa, Chordata, Mammalia, Chiroptera, Phyllostomidae. The transcript is spliced from 2 exons. The record is from RefSeq and is a predicted model, not a curated record.